AUACGGAGGAUCCGAGCGUUAUCCGGAUUUAUUGGGUUUAAAGGGUGCGCAGGCGGCCAUUUAAGUCAGCGGUUAAAUCGUGGGGCUCAACCCCAUUCUGCCGUUGAUACUGGGUGGCUUGAUUGCGGUCGAGGUUGGCGGAAUUCGUUGUGUAGCGGUGAAAUGCAUAGAUAUGACGAAGAACACCGAUUGCGUAGGCAGCUGACCAGAACGCAAAUGACGCUCAUGCACUAAAGUGCGGGGAUCGAACAGGAUUAGAUACCCUGGUAGUCCGCACAGUAAACGAUGAAUACUUGUUUUCGGCGAUAUAAUGUCGGAGGCAAAGCGAAAGCGAUAAGUAUUCCACCUGGGGAGUACGCCGGCAACGGUGAAACUCAAAUGAAUUGGCGGGG
RNAcentral lists this ribosomal RNA (392 nucleotides) under uncultured bacterium. RNAcentral's name for it is "partial 16S ribosomal RNA". It matches the Rfam family "Bacterial small subunit ribosomal RNA", at positions 523 to 918 of the family's 1533-position model. The record is from RNAcentral.